CAAGUCGCGUGCGCAGUUGCCGUAGCAAUACGGUGAUGGGCGCACGGCGCACGGGUGCGUAACACGUGGGCAAUCUGCCCUCUGAUGGGGAAUAACCCCGCGAAAGCGGGGCUAAUUCCGCAUAACAUUCCCAUGACUUAGGUUGAGGGAUUCAAAGCAGUGAUGCGUCAGAGGAGGAGCCCGCGCCCCAUUAGCUAGUUGGUGAGGUAACGGCUCACCAAGGCAAUGAUCGGUAGCUGGUCUGAGAGGAUGAUCAGCCACACUGGAACUGAGACACGGUCCAGACUCCUACGGGAGGCAGCAGUGGGGAAUCUUGCACAAUGGGCGAAAGCCUGAUGCAGCGACGCCGCGUGGGGGAUGAAGCAUUUCGGUGUGUAAACCCCUUUCGACUGGGAAGAAAGCCUCGCAAGAGGACUGACGGUACCAGUAUAAGAAGCCCCGGCUAACUACGUGCCAGCAGCCGCGGUAAGACGUAGGGGGCCAGCGUUGUUCGGAAUUACUGGGUGUAAAGGGUUCGUAGGCGGUGUGGCAAGUUGGGAGUGAAAUCUCUAGGCUCAACCUAGAGGCUGCUUCCAAAACUGCUGUGCUUGAGUGUGAGAGAGGCUCGUGGAAUUGCAGGUGUAGCGGUGAAAUGCGUAGAUAUCUGCAGGAACACCCGUGGCGAAAGCGGCGAGCUGGAUCACAACUGACGCUGAGGAACGAAAGCUAGGGGAGCAAACAGGAUUAGAUACCCUGGUAGUCCUAGCCCUAAACGAUCAGGACUUGGGGUGCCGCCCGUUCGGGCGUCGUCCCGGAGCUAACGCGUUAAGUCCUGCACCUGGGGAGUACGGUCGCAAGACUGAAACUCAAAGGAAUUGACGGGGGCCCGCACAAGCGGUGGAACAUGUGG
This 889-nucleotide ribosomal RNA is filed under the name uncultured Acidobacteriota bacterium. Its description in RNAcentral is "bacterial SSU rRNA". It matches the Rfam family "Bacterial small subunit ribosomal RNA", at positions 58 to 944 of the family's 1533-position model. The record is from RNAcentral. Lineage: Bacteria; Pseudomonadati; Acidobacteriota.